This 375-nucleotide transfer-messenger RNA is filed under the name Candidatus Nanopelagicales. RNAcentral describes it as "AcAMD-2 sp000754455 Standard tmRNA". It matches the Rfam family "transfer-messenger RNA". From Rfam's summary of the family: Bacterial tmRNA, also known as 10Sa RNA or SsrA, is named for its dual tRNA and mRNA-like properties. Its role is to liberate the mRNA from a stalled ribosome. To accomplish this part of the tmRNA is used as a reading frame that ends in a translation stop signal. The record is from RNAcentral. Lineage: Bacteria; Bacillati; Actinomycetota; Actinomycetes. RNAcentral also lists the same sequence under 1 other name.
GGGGGUGAACGGUUUCGACUUCGGAUGUCGAUGCAGAGGAAGCGGGCCGAGGAAUUCGGUACUGAUCUCGUGAACCAUGUGCCGUAAACCAAUAAGUGCCGAUAACACGCGCACUGGCUUCGCACUCGCCGCCUAGGCGAGAGCUCUAAGUAAGCCCGUCAGCCCGAGAGUGCUUCCGGCUCGGGAUCUGGCGUCGCUAGGAAGCUCAACUUCACCGCUGGGUCACGCAGUGGUGAGGGACAUCAAACAGUGACUGAGCCUGUCGACGACUUGCCUGUGUGAUCGUCGGGGCUAAGAAAAGCGCAGCAGGCUGCGCCCGGAGAAGCUCUGCUCCGGUACCGAAGGACCCGGGUUCGAUUCCCGGCACCUCCACAA